GCCAAUGUGUCAUGGUGGUUGGAGCAUUGGACUAUGACUCUGGAGACCAGGGUUCAAAUCCCCACAUGGCCA
Phrynosoma platyrhinos (Desert horned lizard) is the source of this 72-nucleotide non-coding RNA. NCBI's taxonomy places the organism in Eukaryota, Metazoa, Chordata, Lepidosauria, Squamata, Phrynosomatidae. The record is from the annotation of a GenBank genome assembly.